GAUGAAGAACGCAGCGAAAUGCGAUACUUGGUGUGAAUUGCAGAAUCCCGUGAACCAUCGAGUCUUUGAACGCAAGUUGCGCCCGAAGCCAUUAGGCCGAGGGCACGCCUGCCUGGGCGUCACACGUCGUUGCCCCCCCAUCUACUCCUUCGGGAUUGCGGGGGGCGGAUGAUGGCCUCCCGUGCGCCUCGUCGCGCGGUUGGCAUAAAUGCCAAGUCCUCGGCGACGCACGCCACGACAAUCGGUGGUUGCGAAACCUCGGUUGCCCGUCGUGUGCGGUCGUCGCGCAUCGAGGGCUCGAAAAGAUUGCCGGGCUCCGGCUCGGCUUUCAACGCGACCCCAGGUCAGGCGGGGUUACCCGCUGAAUUUAAGCAUAUCAAUAAGCGGAGGA
RNAcentral lists this unclassified non-coding RNA (391 nucleotides) under soil metagenome. RNAcentral describes it as "partial contains 5.8S ribosomal RNA, internal transcribed spacer 2, and large subunit ribosomal RNA". The stretch from base 1 to 122 matches the Rfam family "5.8S ribosomal RNA", at positions 35 to 154 of the family's 154-position model. The record is from RNAcentral.